Molecule: ribosomal RNA, 253 nt
Filed under: uncultured Eubacteriales bacterium
Lineage: Bacteria; Bacillati; Bacillota; Clostridia; Eubacteriales
Description: uncultured Clostridiales bacterium partial 16S ribosomal RNA
Rfam family: Bacterial small subunit ribosomal RNA
Source: RNAcentral
UACGUAGGAGGCAAGCGUUAUCCGGAAUGACUGGGCGUAAAGGGUGCGUAGGUGGUUCAGCAAGUUAGUAGCGUAACUCCGGGGCUCAACCUCGGCACUACUACUAAAACUGUUGGACUUGAGUGCAGGAGGGGCAACUGGAAUUCCUAGUGUAGCGGUGGAAUGCGUAGAUAUUAGGAGGAACACCAGUGGCGAAGGCGGCUUACUGGACGAUGACUGACGCUGAGGCUCGAAAGCGUGGGGAGCAAACAGG